This 1470-nucleotide long non-coding RNA is filed under the name Anser brachyrhynchus (Pink-footed goose). RNAcentral describes it as "lncRNA (ENSABRG00000005729.1)". Lineage: Eukaryota; Metazoa; Chordata; Aves; Anseriformes; Anatidae. The record is from RNAcentral.
AUCUGUCUCGCUCACGGUGAUGUCCAGGUUGCCCAGGAACAGCGUGCGGUUGGCUCUCUGGUCGUCCUCCGGGCUGAUCUCCUCCUCGCUGGCAGCUCCGGCGCCCCCGCCUCCUCCGCGGAAGCCCCCGGCAGCCGCCACACCGGCCACCCGCUCCAGCCCAUAGGCCGGCCGCACUCGUGCUUCGUAGAAGCCCCCGUAGUCCCUCUCCCUCUCCAGCUCCCUGGGCAGAGGGGGUGGAGGCGGCAGGCGGCCGAGGGCGAGCUGCUGCAGCCGGUAGUCUCGAUAGCCCAGGGCCCCGCCGCUGCCGGCGGGGGACAAGGCCCGCUGCGUCGCCCCGGCCGGGGGGUGCCGCACAGCCGCUGCCGCCGCCGCCGCGACCCCCACGGCCGCCGCGCCGUAGGGCGACUCCUUGUCCAGCAGCGCCGGGGAGCGGCUGCCGCGCCGCCGGCCACUCCCUCCGCCGCUCCCCACGUAGACGGCCUCGAUCUUCAGCGGGCGGUCGUAGAGCACGAGGCGGCCGCGGGCGUGCUUGGCGGCGCGGGCGUCCUCGGGCCUGCGGAAGUUGACGAAGGCCACGCGCUCGUCGGCGGCGCCGGUGCCGGGCGGGAGGCGGCUGAUUUUGACGCUCACGUCGCCGAAGCGCUUGAACUCGUGGAAGAGCCCGUCCUCCACCGCCUCGUCGCUCAGCGCCGAGCCCAGCUCGCUGAUCUUCAGCGUCUUGUACUCGCCGCCGCCGCCCGCCUCGGAGGACGGGGCGGCCGCCGCCGGGGCCCGGGACUCGCCCCCGCCGCCGCCCCGGCUGCUGCCGCUCCGCGACGGCUCCGCGGCUUUGCCACCGCCGUAGCCGUGCCGCCCGCCCCCGCCGCCCGCCGCCGCCGCCGCCCCGGCCUCAUACUCGCGGCUGCCGGCGCGGGCGGCCUUGUCCGGGUGCGGGCCCCGCCGUCCGCCGCCGCCGUCCGCCGAGGCCGCCGCCGCCUUCCCGCCGCCGCCAUUGGAGCCGCCGGAGCCGCCCGGCUUCUUGCCGCUCCGCUCGCCGCGCGCCGCCGCCGCCGAGGAGGAGGAGGAGGAGGCCGAGUCCUCGCCGCCGCCCCGCGAGCGCUUGGCCUUGGCGGGGGAGCGCUCCUUGCCCUUCAUGGCGGCGGGCGGCGGCCGGGCCCCCCCCGCGCCCCGGCGGCCUCCCCGACUGCCCGCCCGCCGCGCUCACGCACCCGCCGCCAUCUUGGAAGCCGCGGCGGCCGCCGGCCCCGCCCCCUCGGCGCCCAUUGGCCGCCCGGCGCCGGCCCGCCGCCCUCGUUGGCCGCCUCGGCCCCGCCGGGCGGAAGGCCCGCCCGGCCCCGCGCCCUCCUCCCCGCGAUUGGCUCGGGGAGCCGUCCGUCCGCCGGCCGGCCUCCCGCGCCCGCGAGGAGGGGGCGGGAGGAGCCGGGCCCACACCCCCCGCCCCGCCCCGCCCGCUCACUGGACGGUUAG